AGAGAUUGAACAUAAGAGUUUGAUCCUGGCUCAGAUUGAACGCUGGCGGCAUGCUUUACACAUGCAAGUCGGACGGCAGCACAGGGAAGCUUGCUUCUCGGGUGGCGAGUGGCGAACGGGUGAGUAACAUAUCGGAACGUACUGGGUAGCGGGGGAUAACUGAUCGAAAGAUCAGCUAAUACCGCAUACGUCUUGAGAGGGAAAGCAGGGGACCUUCGGGCCUUGCGCUAUCCGAGCGGCCGAUAUCUGAUUAGCUGGUUGGCGGGGUAAAGGCCCACCAAGGCGACGAUCAGUAGCGGGUCUGAGAGGAUGAUCCGCCACACUGGGACUGAGACACGGCCCAGACUCCUACGGGAGGCAGCAGUGGGGAAUUUUGGACAAUGGGCGCAAGCCUGAUCCAGCCAUGCCGCGUGUCUGAAGAAGGCCUUCGGGUUGUAAAGGACUUUUGUCAGGGAAGAAAAGGCCGUUGCCAAUAUCGGCGGCCGAUGACGGUACCUGAAGAAUAAGCACCGGCUAACUACGUGCCAGCAGCCGCGGUAAUACGUAGGGUGCGAGCGUUAAUCGGAAUUACUGGGCGUAAAGCGGGCGCAGACGGUUACUUAAGCAGGAUGUGAAAUCCCCGGGCUCAACCCGGGAACUGCGUUCUGAACUGGGUGACUCGAGUGUGUCAGAGGGAGGUGGAAUUCCACGUGUAGCAGUGAAAUGCGUAGAGAUGUGGAGGAAUACCGAUGGCGAAGGCAGCCUCCUGGGAUAACACUGACGUUCAUGUCCGAAAGCGUGGGUAGCAAACAGGAUUAGAUACCCUGGUAGUCCACGCCCUAAACGAUGUCAAUUAGCUGUUGGGCAACUUGAUUGCUUGGUAGCGUAGCUAACGCGUGAAAUUGACCGCCUGGGGAGUACGGUCGCAAGAUUAAAACUCAAAGGAAUUGACGGGGACCCGCACAAGCGGUGGAUGAUGUGGAUUAAUUCGAUGCAACGCGAAGAACCUUACCUGGUUUUGACAUGUGCGGAAUCCUCCGGAGACGGAGGAGUGCCUUCGGGAGCCGUAACACAGGUGCUGCAUGGCUGUCGUCAGCUCGUGUCGUGAGAUGUUGGGUUAAGUCCCGCAACGAGCGCAACCCUUGUCAUUAGUUGCCAUCAUUCGGUUGGGCACUCUAAUGAGACUGCCGGUGACAAGCCGGAGGAAGGUGGGGAUGACGUCAAGUCCUCAUGGCCCUUAUGACCAGGGCUUCACACGUCAUACAAUGGUCGGUACAGAGGGUAGCCAAGCCGCGAGGCGGAGCCAAUCUCACAAAACCGAUCGUAGUCCGGAUUGCACUCUGCAACUCGAGUGCAUGAAGUCGGAAUCGCUAGUAAUCGCAGGUCAGCAUACUGCGGUGAAUACGUUCCCGGGUCUUGUACACACCGCCCGUCACACCAUGGGAGUGGGGGAUACCAGAAGUAGGUAGGGUAACCGCAAGGAGUCCGCUUACCACGGUAUGCUUCAUGACUGGGGUGAAGUCGUAACAAGGUAGCCGUAGGGGAACCUGCGGCUGGAUUACCUCCUUUCUAGAG
This 1554-nucleotide ribosomal RNA is filed under the name Neisseria gonorrhoeae MU_NG4. Its description in RNAcentral is "bacterial SSU rRNA". It matches the Rfam family "Bacterial small subunit ribosomal RNA". Lineage: Bacteria; Pseudomonadati; Pseudomonadota; Betaproteobacteria; Neisseriales; Neisseriaceae. The record is from RNAcentral.